AAGUCGUAACAAGGUAACCGUAGGUGAACCUGCGGUUGGAUCAUUAACACGUUUUUACGUCUAUCAACCAACUGUGCAUAGCAAUGACGAAUGAAACCGCAAGGGAGUAAGGAAAGCAUUGUUUUUUUCACAUUUUUCACCAAAUGUCAUUCACAUUAGUUGUUUGAAUCAGUGUUAUACUUGUAUACUGCUGAUUAUGUGGAUAUCUACAUAUCUUUGUACAUAAUUCUUACAUACAACUCUUAGCAAUGGAUAUCUUGGUUCUC
Molecule: unclassified non-coding RNA, 266 nt
Filed under: fungal sp.
Lineage: Eukaryota; Fungi
Description: partial internal transcribed spacer region
Rfam family: Eukaryotic small subunit ribosomal RNA (bases 1-46)
Source: RNAcentral